RNAcentral lists this small nucleolar RNA (125 nucleotides) under Trypanosoma brucei. RNAcentral describes it as "Small nucleolar RNA TBR17". It matches the Rfam family "Small nucleolar RNA TBR17". From Rfam's summary of the family: TBR17 is a member of the C/D class of snoRNA which contain the C (UGAUGA) and D (CUGA) box motifs. Most of the members of the box C/D family function in directing site-specific 2'-O-methylation of substrate RNAs. The record is from Rfam by way of RNAcentral. Lineage: Eukaryota; Euglenozoa; Kinetoplastea; Trypanosomatida; Trypanosomatidae.
UGCUCUCAGUGGACAUGAUGCUCCGCCGCCCAUAUAUCCCGUUAUGUAUAUCCUGUGUGCGCUCUAGUUCCGUUGGGACCCUGAAGAGUAAGAGUAAGCACACUAACCGUGCAUUAUACAUGACC